This 253-nucleotide ribosomal RNA is filed under the name uncultured bacterium. Its description in RNAcentral is "partial 16S ribosomal RNA". It matches the Rfam family "Bacterial small subunit ribosomal RNA", at positions 524 to 776 of the family's 1533-position model. The record is from RNAcentral. RNAcentral also lists the same sequence under 1 other name.
UACGGAGGGAGCUAGCGUUGUUCGGAAUUACUGGGCGUAAAGCGCACGUAGGCGGUUAUUCAAGUCAGAGGUGAAAGCCCGGGGCUCAACUCCGGAACUGCCUUUGAAACUAGAUAACUUGAAUCCAGGAGAGGUGAGUGGAAUUCCGAGUGUAGAGGUGAAAUUCGUAGAUAUUCGGAAGAACACCAGUGGCGAAGGCGGCUCACUGGACUGGUAUUGACGCUGAGGUGCGAAAGCGUGGGGAGCAAACAGG